GACCACCCACCGACCAACGCACGGCAGGAGCGGGGGAACCAGGUAAAUCGCCGGACCGGGCUGCACCGCCGGACCGGCUAGGGGUGAAACCGCGUCGCCGUACGGCGGCACGGCCGGGCAUCUCCCGCCCGAACCCGACAGCUCACCUCGCAGGCGCCGGAGAGGAACA
This 169-nucleotide small RNA is filed under the name Streptomyces sp. RNAcentral describes it as "c-di-AMP sequence". It matches the Rfam family "c-di-AMP riboswitch aptamer (ydaO/yuaA leader)". From Rfam's summary of the family: This family represents a conserved RNA structure found upstream of the ydaO and yuaA genes in Bacillus subtilis and related genes in other bacteria. The record is from RNAcentral. Lineage: Bacteria; Bacillati; Actinomycetota; Actinomycetes; Kitasatosporales; Streptomycetaceae.